Coffea arabica (coffee) is the source of this 1452-nucleotide RNA transcript. RefSeq lists it as uncharacterized. NCBI's taxonomy places the organism in Eukaryota, Viridiplantae, Streptophyta, Magnoliopsida, Gentianales, Rubiaceae. The record is from RefSeq and is a predicted model, not a curated record.
GGACUGUUGAUCGGGUGGAUGAGGGUUGCGAUUACAGAGACAAUCUAAGGGUGUUUUUUCCAGUUUUGAGCGAUGAGGCUCGUGAGGGGUUGAUGGAAGAAGUGGGAUUGAAUGUUUGGCUGGGAUUGUCCUUUGUGAGGUGUUUUGGUUGAGGUUGUGCUUGAAAUUCAAUCAGGGAAUUAGGCGAGACAAGCUGGAGAUGGAUAUGCGGAACUGGGUAGUUCAGACUAUCAAUGGCUUUGAGAACAUUUACUUUUUGGAUAUGCUUCUUAGAAUGCUGUUGGAGCCAAGCUUGCCAAUCGCUAACUUACUGAGUUCUGAUGAUGCAAUGUCUCUGAUGAAGGUUCUUUAUGAUGCUGUCUUAAUUGUUGACUAUUCAUGUCUCAAUUCUCGUGGAUGGAUGCAGCUGUGUGACAAUCAGUUUGGAAACUUGGCUUUGAUGUGGUUAUUAGUUGCUGAUGAUGCUGUACAGUUUGCUAGGGAUAUAUGUGACCACAGCAGGGCUCUUUCCUAUGUCAAUUCCUUCACUGAAUCUCAUUUAUCUAAUCAGUUGAUUAAAUGGAUCUCUAAUCAAGCUUGCGUGGAGGAUGGAUUGACACAUGAUAUUGGCACUCCCAGAGAUCUCAUCAGGUGGCUGUUAGUUCUUGAAGAUCAAGGACUUGGAGUUUUCUAUCACAAUCUGUCAAGGUUCCUAACUAAAACAAAACUUGAGACUAUAAUUACUUGGAAAAGCAUCUUGAGUUGCUCUGGGAAUCUCGGAAAAGGGAAUAUAAAGUCAAUAUGGAUGAGGAGAUGGCUGAUCCCUCUUGCCGUGCAGAUCCAGCUUCCAUAGUGACACACACGAAGCAUCAAUAGAGGGCACAAGAAAACGCAAAGAUGGAACGAGAGAAGAAGUUGAAACAAGGGUUAAGCAUGUCAAGUAUACCUUCAUGAAACCUCAAUUUACAAAGAUAAAUUUGGAAGUGGAGUAGACAUGUGUAAUCCAGUCUGUGAUGAAGAUAUGGAGGUUAUGGUUACAGGAUAAUUAGAAUCCACUGAGGCAGGACUUUGUGGAGUCCAGAAGAUACUCAAAUGUCGAGGAUACAUUUUUUGGCUACACCAAGGUGCCGGAAGCUCUCCUCCGUCUAACCUCGGAUUGUACAAUCUUAGCCGUCUGACAAAUCUCACAAGGCCCAGGCUCUUGGGUGGGUGGUUUUAUUGCUUCAUCUGGGCUGUGGCAUGGCUACCCAUUCUCCAUUCUGGAUCUGUCACCCAUCCUUCCAGAAUUCAGCUGGACUUCUAUCAUAACUUUGAUUUUAUUGUUUUGUUGUUGGGGGGAGGGGGGGGGGAAGGUAUUUCACCACUUUGCACGCUUGCCAAUGUAAUUUCUAUGAAAGAUAUAUAAAAUUUCAGUUGAAGUAUUUGUUUGAUGAGGUGAUUAAAUUGGUUUCCCCAAUCUAUUGUUAGCAACUA